This 458-nucleotide ribosomal RNA is filed under the name uncultured bacterium. RNAcentral describes it as "partial 16S ribosomal RNA". It matches the Rfam family "Bacterial small subunit ribosomal RNA", at positions 30 to 507 of the family's 1533-position model. The record is from RNAcentral.
AGCGAACGCUGGCGGCAGGCCUAACACAUGCAAGUCGAACGGACCCUUCGGGGUUAGUGGCGGACGGGUGAGUAACACGUGGGAACGUGCCUUUAGGUUCGGAAUAGCUCCUGGAAACGGGUGGUAAUGCCGAAUGUGCCCUUCGGGGGAAAGAUUUAUCGCCUUUAGAGCGGCCCGCGUCUGAUUAGCUAGUUGGUGAGGUAACGGCUCACCAAGGCGACGAUCAGUAGCUGGUCUGAGAGGAUGACCAGCCACACUGGGACUGAGACACGGCCCAGACGGCGACGGGGGGCCGCAGGGGGGAAUGAUGGAGAAUGGGCGGAAGGGUGAUAAAGAAAUGCCGGGGGAGGUAAGAAGGACUUCGGGUGGGAAAAGGAUUUGGGUGGGGAAGAAAUACAAUGCGCGAAUAACCUGGGGGGAGGAGGGUACCUGAAGAAGAAGCGCGGGCUAACUACGGG